This is an RNA transcript of Callorhinchus milii (elephant shark), 928 nucleotides long. RefSeq lists it as uncharacterized. The transcript is spliced from 2 exons. Lineage: Eukaryota; Metazoa; Chordata; Chondrichthyes; Chimaeriformes; Callorhinchidae. The record is from RefSeq and is a predicted model, not a curated record.
GGGAUUUGUGUGUGGGCAGAGGAUGGGGUGUGUGGGUGCUGGGGAAAACCCGGCUGAUCUCCUCACUGAUUCACUAUGACUGUGAUUCUGUGACUCAGAUCUUUGACUUCUCUCUGACGGAUGAGGAGAUGAAAGCAAUUGACGAGCUGAACAAGAACGUCCGUUACGUGGAGCUGCUGAUGUGGAGUGAUCACCCAGAGUACCCCUUUAGGGAGGAGUACUGAAAGGGGUGACAGUGAGACGAUCUGGGCUCCGUGACAUCUCCUGUCUGAUCGUCCACAUGAGUGAAGCAGAGCUGUUGGUGGGGAAAUGGAGUGAGAGUGAAGUGCGAUAGGACCAGAAAAGAUCGUUCCCCUCAUAUUCAGUGAUACGUGACAACAAUUGGUCACUGAGGCUACUCCCAAGAUCAAUGUCUUCCCAAUCCCCCUCCCCUUCACUCACACGCCCCUUCACUCUCUCACACUUUCAUACACUCACACAUCCUUUCACAUUCUCAUACAUGCAUACAGCUCUUCACUUUCUCAUACUCUCAUACACUCACACAUUCUUUCACUCUCUCACAGACUGUCUCACACUCACACAUCCUUUCACUCGCACACUCUCUCACACUCAUACACUCACACAUCCUUUCACUCGCACACUCUCUCACACUCAUACACUCACACAUCCUUUCACUCGGACACACACAUCUUUUCACUUUUUCUCACACGCACACAUCCUUUCACUCUCACUCUGUCUCAUUCUUUCUUAUACUCUCUCUUACACAAUCUAACUCCCUCCCAUUCUCUUGGAUCUCUCUCUCACGGUCUCUUACUCUCACUCUCUCUGUCUCUCUCACUACCCAUGCCCUAUUGUGUUAGUUAAAGGCAUUUAUGACGUUCAAUGUGUUUUAUUUUUCUCAUAAUUAAAAUAAAACUUGUUUAUUCAA